AUCUUUAAUUAUGUUUCCCUCCACUAUUAUUAUUCCGCGUGUACUCUCGUGCAGCUGACGUUUCGAAAAUAACAACCGCAAACGGCAACAAAAAAUAAGCACCACCGACGAAGUGCGAAAACAAAAAAAGCAGUCCCCAGCUAUCCUUUUGUCCCUCUACUACUGCUCCUGCCGGCAGCAGUGCAGAGGGUAUAUGCCUAGGGAACAAUUGUAACUCCUAGUGAAACAACGAAACGACUGAAAUCUCACGCACUUCCAACUGCAUGGUGCAAUUCAACAUAAGUUUACAAGCGAAGGUCAUCAUUUUAACUUUACAGAACCCGGGCCAAUUUUACCUUAAUCAUGUCGCCGACUUCCCAAUCCACCUUCAAUUGCUCAGAUCAAGUCCGCAUCCACCAUCAAAUUGAACAGAAGUUUGUUACAACCCCCGUCAAUGGAAUUAAUCUCCAGGAAACGUGUCCCCAACUUCUAGAUUAAACUGCCUGAAUAAAUGGAGUAAUUGUACAAGCACCAGCAAUAAGAUUUCGAGUCAAGUACACGAACAAACACCUGGCACUGGGUUUGGGGCACACUUAGCACCACCAGGCAAAGCAAAAAACCGGAUUGUUCAUAAUGCAAAAAUCUUCAGCUCGUGCAAAGCUCCAUGUUCAUAUUGCCAAAAUCUUCAGCUCGUGCAAAGCUCCAUCAGAUCCAUCACCACAGCCAUGAACAGUCCUCUUUUUUCCGGAGGUACUUAUAAACAUUUUAAAAUAGAGCAUACCGCAAUUUUGAAACUUUCCACAAACCCAACAAUUGGCAGUGAUUAAAUAAACAAGAUAACAAGACCAAUAGUAGAAUCCAUCAUCAUGCGUCUACUCUGAAACCCUCUUACAAGCCCGACAGUUGCUAUUGCUCAACAAACAUGCUAAGCAACAGACUAAAAAAUAAGUGUUCCAAAUCAUUGUGUGUAUAUAUAUAGCAAUACUCAAAUACAUAAGCAAUACAUAGACAAAAGUGCACAAAUUUGGAGUUGAUCGUUGAUAACAGAUCCAACAGAAAUUCAUAUCACGAGCUAUGAAGUCACAGCAGUUAGGGCAAACGAGAUUGUGUAACAUAAGUUCAAUGGAACAGAAAUACAGAUCCAUUGUGCAAUGUGUCAUCUUAGUGAUUCGAGGUUUUUAACCAGAUGAACAGAACCAAACCGUAGCUGCAAUCAAAAUUUGUGGGCGCAUCUGAAGAUUGAUUUACUGGUUUCGUGAAAAUUUGGAGAAGUGUUCUUUGGGGUCCGGGGAGCCAUGGGAAUUUCUUUUCUUGACAACUGGUAUGAGUAAAGUGUAUUAGAUGCUUAUUCAUGGUGUUUAAGGACUAUUAAUUAAUCCGCUAGUACGCGAGAUGACAUAAUGUAAGCGUUGCGUAGAAUAAAAGAACGUAAAGGAAAUUGCAGGCUAAAUUACCGGUUGUACCUUGGGAGUUUCGCUGUAGCUCCAGAUUUUUGCAGCUGCGCCGAGAUAGAUGAUGCACGAUUUCCGUAGCGCAGAGGAGCAGCGGAGAACGGAAAGCAACGGACACAGGGACACCAAGGGGGGAGGAGAACCCGGGGCCAAAAAAAUCAACCCCCGUGCGAUCUCCUCCCAGGGACACAAGAAUAUCUUUUUUAUUACCGUGGCCUGCCAUGCGAGCGCACCCGUCAUGGCAAAGGCCUCUCUCAGGUCACAUCUUUUUUUCUUUUUUUUGUGCCCUCAACGCACGCCGACUCAACGACGACUCUUACAUGCUUCACCUUACCUCGCCUCUUCAAGGCGGCGGGUCACAUCUCUUGGAUCUACUAAUAAUUAUCGAAAUCCAUCCAAUAAUUAUCAGCACAGAGAGAUCCCGCGCGGUGGAGCAUAGGAAGAGAUCUUGCCGGCCGCCACGCCCCGUCAACUCCGCCGCCGCCUCCAGCCAACCUCGAACGGAACAACACGAUCACGCCGCGGUCCGCCACAUCUGCAAGCCGAAACAACGAAACGCAGCAGAUAAGCACAUGCGACGGCGAGAUGACCCCCAACCCCAACAGGAAACCACAAGAAUCAAGGGGGGAAAUACUAACCGGUACAGAUUCCAGAUCGCCAUGAACGCGGAUCCGUAGCCUCCGUGCGCAGAUCAAGAUCCAGGCUGCCGCAACUCGAUUCACCCGGCAGCACGCUCGAUCCACCGGUCAGACCUGAGCCUGCGCAUCAGAAAACAAACGGAUUUUUUCGAACAAAUCGAAACAAAGCAACCCACCGUUCCGCGAAGGGGGCAAGGGAUUCGGCAACAUCAAAGGGAAGGAGCUCUCGGCGAGAUCUGGAUCUCGAGUUGACGUGUGGGGAACGAGCACGGGGCCACGGCGAAUUCUAGAUCUGGAGGAAGGGGGGGGGCGCGGAGGUUGCGUGCAGGAGGGGGGACGCGCCUGCCCAGCCAUGGGGUUUGUUAGUU
This 2436-nucleotide long non-coding RNA is filed under the name Panicum hallii. RNAcentral's name for it is "long non-coding RNA (PHAL_LNC000574)". Lineage: Eukaryota; Viridiplantae; Streptophyta; Magnoliopsida; Poales; Poaceae. The record is from RNAcentral.